RNAcentral lists this small RNA (771 nucleotides) under Pongo abelii (Sumatran orangutan). RNAcentral's name for it is "retained intron". Lineage: Eukaryota; Metazoa; Chordata; Mammalia; Primates; Hominidae. The record is from RNAcentral.
CUGCCCUGCCCGCCCGUCUAUGACCCUUGCCUGCCUCCUCUCGAACACAGGGUCUCUUCCGUCUGGCUGCUGGGGCCUCGGUGCUGAAGCGUCUCAAGCAGACGAUGGCCUCGGACCCCCACAGCCUGGAGGAGUUCUGCUCCGACCCACACGCCGUGGCAGGUGCCCUCAAGUCCUAUCUGCGGGAGCUGCCGGAGCCUCUGAUGACCUUCGACCUCUAUGACGACUGGAUGACGGCAGCCAGCCUGAAGGAGCCAGGGGCCCGGCUGCAGGCCCUCCAAGAGGUGUGCAGCCGCCUGCCCCCUGAGAACCUCAGCAACCUCAGGUACCUGAUGAAGUUCCUGGCACGGCUGGCCGAGGAGCAGGAGGUGAACAAGAUGACACCCAGCAACAUCGCCAUCGUCCUGGGACCCAACCUGCUGUGGCCACCUGAGAAAGAAGGGGACCAGGCCCAGCUGGAUGCGGCCUCCGUGUCUUCCAUCCAGGUGGUGGGCGUCGUCGAGGCGCUGAUCCAGAGCGCAGACACCCUCUUCCCUGGAGACAUCAACUUCAACGUGUCAGGCCUCUUCUCAGCUGUUACCCUCCAGGACACAGUCAGUGACAGGCUGGCCUCUGAGGAACUGCCACCCACUGCCGUGCCCACCCCAGCCAUCACCCCGGCUCCAGCUCCAGCUCCAGUUCCAGCCCCAGCCUUGGCUUCAGCGGCUACCAAGGAAAGGUGAGGACUGAGGGGCAUGAAUGGCUCCUGUGGUGGUCCCACAGUCAGCCUGC